AUGCACCAGAGACGAGAUCCUAAUUUCACCUCCGAUGACACGGCCCGCCGCGCUGAUCAAGUUUUGCAUCAGCCAAGGUCGUCUGCCACCCAUACAUCAGUGCCGGCCUCCUUGUCCACCGCCCCCAGCAUAGCAUGGGCAUGGCAACAUUGCUGCUACUCCUGUCCUGUGCAAGCUCGUCCUCCGCGUAGGGAAACCGUGAAAACCCCAACCCAGCCCAGAAACCCCACCGCAAUGUCCAGCGACGACGAGCUCCGCGGCCUCCUGGUCCAGGAAUCCACCGCCGCGAUCGUCUCCGGCGCCGACCCCUCCAGCCCCACCGCCCGAUCGGCCCACUUCCUCCUCCCCCGCGCGGGGGCCGCUCCCCUCCCCGCUCUGCCAUCCCCGCCACGCAAUGCCGACGAGCUCGCGGUGGAGUGGACGGACUGGCCCGGCUGCUCCAAGCUGUGGAGGCGGUGGGUGGCCAAGCUUCGGCCGCGGCACGAGCGCCUGUGGCGCAAAAUUGGGAUCUUGGACGGCGUUCUCGCGACCACGGGCUGGGUGCGGCGGGACGAGGACCUGCUGCUCCAGCUCGCGGGUUUCUGGUCCGGCGAGACCAACACGUUCCUCUUCCCGUGGGGUGAGGCCACGGUGACGCUGGAGGACAUGGCCGUGCUCGGGGGCCUGCCCCUGCUGGGCAGGCCGGUGUGGUCGCGGCUCCCGGACGAGCUCCGCGUGGACGUGGACGCGCUCCAAGCCGUCCGGAUCGCGCUCAACUGGAGCAAGAGCAAGAGAGUCAAUUAUACCUUGUGGGUUAAGCAAUUCAUCGAGGAGACCGGUGCCGGUGCUGGUGCCGCUGGCGACGGCAGAGGAGAGGCCGAGGCGGCCACAUUGCUCGAGCACGGGGCGUUUCUGGCCAUGUGGCUGACCAGAUACGUGCUUCCGGUGGAGUCAUUCGACGUGGUCAGAACGGACGUGCUCCCCCUCGCCGCCGGACUGGCGCGCGGCAGAAGGAUGCUUGAUCCUGGGCACAUCCAUGCAGUGUUCAUGUCCCCGGAUGAGUUCAAAUGGAGGCCGUACGGAGGCAGUAGCUUUGCUCUGCCACAAGCCAAAGGUGGCUGCUGGGUGCACUGCAAUGAAUUAGCAACAAGCAAGGGAUUGCAAUCCUUUGCGCAAUGUCUCCGACCUUGCGAACUUGUCGGCAUGCAAUGCAUCGAGCAAUACUGUCCGCACCGUGUCGCGAGGCAGCUCGGCUUCGAUCAGGACGUACCUGGGACUGUUGCCCGUGCCAACUCAAGUCAAAAGACGGCAUGGGCGACAUACAAAAUGCAGCCUGGAAAUGUUUCGCUCUUCGUUCCGCAACGCGAUCCGGGCAUGACAGUUGAAUACGCACAAUGGUGGAAGCAAUACUCGUCAGCAUGUGCUGCCGCCGUUGCUAAUGCUGCAAGGAUGAAACAACUUAAUGUUGUAGUUAUUAGCCCAAGAAAGAUGAAAGCUGAUGGUCUCAGUCUCAGUGGUGUAGAUUGUGGCAAAAAGCGUCACUUGGAGGCUGGGAUGACUCUGCAAGAUGAUACAGAGGAUGAGAUUCCGCUGGAAGAGAGGCUGAAUAGUGUCAUUCUAAAGACGGAAAGCCAGGAUACAGAGAUGCAUAUUUUGAAAGAUGGCGAGACAAAGCAAAAUUCAGAAACCGUGAAGGAUUUGGUGCCAAGAUGGGCAGGAAAAGGCAGACGUAGGGCAAUUUCACGCAAAGUUGCUGAGAAAGCUUUCUCUGAUGCAGAGGCAGUUUUGGUGAGUGAAGUUGAUAAACCAUCGUGUGGGCCGGUCACCAAGAAUGAGAAUUUUGAAGAGCAAGCAUUAGGCUCGGUUAUUCCGUGUGAUGAGAAGAAUUUCAGUUCAGAACAUGGGGAAGUCGAGGGUGCAGCGACCGCUAGAAGCAACAAAGGCAUUAGAGCUGCAAUUGGAGCGGACAUGUAUUCAAAUCUUCCAGACAUCUUGGCCAUCAGUGGUAAUGAGUUGGAUGAAAUAUUCAGAAAGGAUAGCGAGGCGAGUGCAAUUUAUAUGGAACUGUCCAAGUUGACGAUGGCAGCAUCCAACUCAGACCAGCCAAAUGAAGAAUUCGAACGACAACUGGUCACCAUAAGAAGAGAUGAGUCGAAGGAAAUCAUGGUCCAAAACAAUAGUGAUUAUGAGCUUCCUACUGUCCAAAGUGAUAUCACUCUCAGACAAGGACCAGUUAAAGUAACUCAUGCCACUAAUGUUCAAACUAAUGUUGAUGUCUUAGAAGAAUGCAUUGAUGAAAUGCAGACACGCAAUGUAAUGGCAGAGGGAGAUCAGAGAGCGAAGGUGGACAGAGAAAACUCAAAAGGAAUCAAUGAUGCAUCUUAUAAUGGUCUAGUAUAUGGAAAGAAUGAAGUGGUCAAGAGAGUAAUUUCUACUAAAACACUCUACUAUCUUAGACCAUUCAAGCGGGUGAAAGAUGCUCAGGUCAGAGAUUCAAGAGCCACCAAUGCAGGUCAAGUCAUUUUCCAACCAGGACGGGAAGUCGGAACAACGGAAAUGAUUAGAGAGGCGUCUGAAGCUCGAGAAGCAGAAAAGGUUGAGUUGGAAACAAUAAUUGAUCGUCUUAAGAAACAAGUCGUGGCGCUAGAGGUGCAGUUGCGGGGCAGGAGAACCUAG
RNAcentral lists this ribosomal RNA (2655 nucleotides) under Triticum aestivum (bread wheat). RNAcentral's name for it is "partial small subunit ribosomal RNA". The record is from RNAcentral. Lineage: Eukaryota; Viridiplantae; Streptophyta; Magnoliopsida; Poales; Poaceae.